This 226-nucleotide ribosomal RNA is filed under the name uncultured bacterium. RNAcentral describes it as "partial 16S ribosomal RNA". It matches the Rfam family "Bacterial small subunit ribosomal RNA", at positions 113 to 334 of the family's 1533-position model. The record is from RNAcentral.
CAACGUAGGUAAUCUACCUUUUGAGUGGGGGAAUAACUUAGGGAAACUUAAGCUAAUACCGCAUAAUGCAGCGGCAUCGCAAGAUGACAGUUGUUAAAGGAGCAAUCCGCUUAAAGAGGAGCCUGCGGCAGAUUAGGUAGUUGGUAAGGUAAUGGCUUACCAAGCCUGCGAUCUGUAGCCGACCUGAGAGGGUGGUCGGUCACACUGACACUGAAUAACGGGUCAG